CUGGGAUUAGAUACCCCACUAUGCCACGAAGUAAACUAUGAUCACUCCGCCAGAAAAUUACGGGCAAACAAGCCUAAAACUCAAAAGAUUUGACGGUGUCCCAACCUACCUAGAGGAGCCUGUUCCAUAAUCGAUAACCCCCGAUCAACCCUACCACCCCUUGAUUAUACAGCCUAUAUACCGCCGUCGCCAGCUUACCUUUUAAAAGCCACACAGUAAGCAAGAUAGUAAAUUACUAAAAAGUCAGGUCAAGGUGUAGCUAAUGUGGUGGAGCUAAUGGGCUACAUUAUCUGCCCCAGAUAACACGCACUAUCUUCUGCAACACCGAUAUUAAGGAGGAUUUAGCAGUAAAUGAAGCAAGAAUACUUAAUUUAACACCUGCUCUGGGACAUGUACACACCGCCCGUCACCC
Molecule: ribosomal RNA, 412 nt
Filed under: Ecpleopus gaudichaudii
Lineage: Eukaryota; Metazoa; Chordata; Lepidosauria; Squamata; Gymnophthalmidae
Description: partial 12S ribosomal RNA
Rfam family: Bacterial small subunit ribosomal RNA
Source: RNAcentral